UUAGUGAUCAAGCCCUAGUGAAAGGGAACGCAGAGUCUGGAAACAUACAUGGGUUUGGGACCCACCUCUAGCACUAACCAUGUGACCCUGGGAAGAGUUCUUAAAAUUCUGUAUGCAUCUAUUUCUUCGUUUAUAAAACAGAACCUACCAUCCAGGGCUGUUAUGAAGAUUACAUGAGGCAAUUUAUAUGAAUUUAGAAUAGUUUCUACAUAGGCUCUGUAAGUACAAGCUCCUAUUGUCUUUAUGGCUGUUAUUACUUAGAAUCCUUGGAGGUAUGAUCUGGACGUUUUUGUUUUCAAAGAACUACUUAGGAGAUUCUGGUUUGCACCCGUGGUUCUGAACCAACUGCGGUUUGGCUUGUCAGUUUCACAGACGUGAGAAAACAGGAAGUGCCGCAGGAGUCUGGUGAACCAGGAAGAACGCAGAUUCCUGGGAUCCCAGGCUUCCUGGCAAAUCAGUCAAGGUUAGCUCCCUGUCUUCCUCCUCCCCAUCCCGCUAACAGCCUUUGAUCUCACCUCCGGUCGGGGCACCAGCUCAGCUUCCUGCAGGGGUGAGAGUGAGCAAGGACGUGCUCUAGAGAUAGGGGAAGGGGGGGAAGGGAAGUGAGCGUGCAAUCCACCCACCACAUAACCAGCUGCUGAGAAAUAGUGGGCCGGCGGUUGUUAGCGCUCUGGGGGCUGCUGAGCCUUCCAGGGGUUUACCAAGAUGGGACAAAUCUAACGAGCAGAAAGUUACAGCAUGGCUUAUUGGACAAUAACCCAUUUCCUUCACUUAGAAACAAUGAAGAAACAUUUUUCUCACUUCUAUGGCACAAGGAAAGCAAUAUCAGUGAUUUGUGCUGCCUGGUUAUCCAGUCUCUUUACCGACUUGGCUUAUUUUCUUGCUGCGAGAUAUGAACACUUAGGGCUGAAUGUGGCUCUCUUCUCUCUGAAAGAUACCGCUUUGGAUUAAAACAACCACCACCACCACAACAACAACAAAAAGAAGAAAAAGGCUCCAGUCACUCCAUGAUGGAACAGCUUAGGGAAAUAACUUUUCAAAAGUCGAGAGUUAGAGGAAAUUAAAAAAAAAAAAAAUCAGAGAAUGUGCCGCCAAUGAAUUCAAUCACAGCAAAGUCCAUUUCCAUUCCCUUGAAUUCUAGACAAACAAUUUCGAGUUGCAAAUAUCUUUCAGAAGUACUGUAUGCACAGGG
This 1192-nucleotide long non-coding RNA is filed under the name Mustela putorius furo (domestic ferret). RNAcentral describes it as "lncRNA (ENSMPUG00000028281.1)". The record is from RNAcentral. Lineage: Eukaryota; Metazoa; Chordata; Mammalia; Carnivora; Mustelidae.